AGGACGAACGCUGGCGGCGUGCCUAACACAUGCAAGUCGAACGAGGUCCAUCCGGUAGCAAUACUGGUGAAGAUCAAGUGGCGAACGGGUGAGUAGCACGUGAGCAACCUGCCCCGAAGACCGGGACAACACCGGGAAACCGGUGCUAAUACCGGAUAUCCCCACCGAGUCGCAUGACUUGGUGAGGAAAUGGAUUCCGCUUUGGGAGGGGCUCGCGGCCUAUCAGCUUGUUGGUGAGGUAACGGCUCACCAAGGCUUCGACGGGUAGCUGGUCUGAGAGGACGAUCAGCCACACUGGGACUGAGACACGGCCCAGACUCCUACGGGAGGCAGCAGUGGGGAAUCUUGCACAAUGGGCGAAAGCCUGAUGCAGCAACGCCGCGUGAGGGACGAAGGCUUUCUGAGUUGUAAACCUCUUUCAGCAGGGACGAUUGUGACGGUACCUGCAGAAGAGCCCGGCAACUACGCGCCAGCAGCCGCGGUAAU
RNAcentral lists this ribosomal RNA (486 nucleotides) under uncultured bacterium. RNAcentral describes it as "SSU rRNA". It matches the Rfam family "Bacterial small subunit ribosomal RNA", at positions 26 to 524 of the family's 1533-position model. The record is from RNAcentral.